Molecule: ribosomal RNA, 201 nt
Filed under: Triticum aestivum (bread wheat)
Lineage: Eukaryota; Viridiplantae; Streptophyta; Magnoliopsida; Poales; Poaceae
Description: partial small subunit ribosomal RNA
Source: RNAcentral
AUGCCCCUUGCUGCUCCACAGCUUGUCGAAUAUCCUCCUCGACCGCGACUGCAGCAGGAGGCCUCCGAGUUGGUCCUUGAAGCUGUUCCUGCCAACAACUUGAUCUUUGAAGCUGUUUCUGCCAACAACUUGAUCCUUGAAGCUGCUUCUGCCUCCCCUGAGCUCGACGUGCCGGUCCUCGCCCUCUCCUCUUGCGCUUAG